Molecule: microRNA precursor, 57 nt
Filed under: Limulus polyphemus (Atlantic horseshoe crab)
Lineage: Eukaryota; Metazoa; Arthropoda; Merostomata; Xiphosura; Limulidae
Description: Lpo-Mir-153-P14_pre stem-loop
Source: RNAcentral
UCAUUUUUGUGAUUGGUGCAAUUUGGUUAACACAAUUGCAUAGUCAUAAAAGUGAUG